RNAcentral lists this ribosomal RNA (468 nucleotides) under uncultured bacterium. Its description in RNAcentral is "partial 16S ribosomal RNA". It matches the Rfam family "Bacterial small subunit ribosomal RNA", at positions 28 to 507 of the family's 1533-position model. The record is from RNAcentral.
GAUGAACGCUGGCGGCGUGCUUAACACAUGCAAGUCGAACGGAAAGGCCAUGCUUUUGUGGGGUGCACGAGUGGCGAACGGGUGAGUAAAACGUGAGUAACAUGCACUUGACUUUGGGAUAAAUUCAGGAAAAUGGGGCUCAUAUAGGAUAGGAGAUACUGCUGCAUGGUGGGGGUUGGAAAGAUUCGGCCGUUGUGGCUGGACUAGCGGCUUAUCAGCUUGUUGGUGGAGUAGUGGAUUUCAAAGGCUGUGACGGGUAGCCGGCCUGAGAGGGUGACCGGCCACAUGAGGACUGCGAGACGGCCCAGUCGCCUACGGGACGCAGCAGGCGAGAGUAUUGCGCAACAAGCGGAAGCCUGAUGCGGCAGCGCCGCGUGCGUGAUGACGUCCUACGAGUUAUAAACCACUGUCGCCGUAGACGUGGCCGGAGUGACGGUAACUGGUAAAGAAGCACCGGCUAACUACGUG